UACGGGGGGGGCAAGCGUUGUUCGGAAUUACUGGGCGCAAAGGGCUCGUAGGUGGCCAACUAAGUCAGACGUGAAAUCCCUCGGCUUAACCGGGGAACUGCGUCUGAUACUGGAUGGCUUGAGGUUGGGAGAGGGAUGCGGAAUUCCAGGUGUAGCGGUGAAAUGCGUAGAUAUCUGGAGGAACACCGGUGGCGAAGGCGGCAUCCUGGACCAAUUCUGACGCUGAGGAGCGAAAGCCAGGGGAGCAAACGGG
Molecule: ribosomal RNA, 253 nt
Filed under: uncultured bacterium
Lineage: Bacteria
Description: partial 16S ribosomal RNA
Rfam family: Bacterial small subunit ribosomal RNA
Source: RNAcentral